UGAGCCUCCUUCGGGAGGAGAUUAGAGGCGAACGGGUGACUAACACGUGGGCAAUCUGCCCUUCACUCUGGGACAAGCCCUGGAAACGGGGUCUAAUACCGGAUACGACCACCGACCGCAUGGUCUGGUGGUGGAAAGCUCCGGCGGUGAAGGAUGAGCCCGCGGCCUAUCAGCUUGUUGGUGGGGUGAUGGCCUACCAAGGCGACGACGGGUAGCCGGCCUGAGAGGGCGACCGGCCACACUGGGACUGAGACACGGCCCAGACUCCUACGGGAGGCAGCAGUGGGGAAUAUUGCACAAUGGGCGAAAGCCUGAUGCAGCGACGCCGCGUGAGGGAUGACGGCCUUCGGGUUGUAAACCUCUUUCAGCAGGGAAGAAGCGAAAGUGACGGUACCUGCAGAAGAAGCGCCGGCUAACUACGUGCCAGCAGCCGCGGUAAUACGUAGGGCGCAAGCGUUGUCCGGAAUUAUUGGGCGUAAAGAGCUCGUAGGCGGCUUGUCACGUCGGAUGUGAAAGCCCGGGGCUUAACCCCGGGUCUGCAUUCGAUACGGGCAGGCUAGAGUUCGGUAGGGGAGAUCGGAAUUCCUGGUGUAGCGGUGAAAUGCGCAGAUAUCAGGAGGAACACCGGUGGCGAAGGCGGAUCUCUGGGCCGAUACUGACGCUGAGGAGCGAAAGCGUGGGGAGCGAACAGGAUUAGAUA
RNAcentral lists this ribosomal RNA (700 nucleotides) under Streptomyces caniferus. RNAcentral describes it as "bacterial SSU rRNA". It matches the Rfam family "Bacterial small subunit ribosomal RNA", at positions 70 to 784 of the family's 1533-position model. The record is from RNAcentral. Lineage: Bacteria; Bacillati; Actinomycetota; Actinomycetes; Kitasatosporales; Streptomycetaceae.